AUGCUCUCCAGGAGGCCGCUCGCCGCCGCCCUACGCCUCGCGCCCCUCUCGCCUCCGCUCCUCCUCUUCUUCGCCUCCUCCUCCUCCUCGUCGUCGUCACCCGCCUCGUGCUCCUCCCCCACCGCUUCGGCCUCGGCCCCCAGAGGCUGCAGUGCUCUAAGGAUGGAUAGCGGCGCUGUGGAACCAGCUUCAACCGGGGCAAUCUGGUCAACGCCGUCGGUGGAGCCGAGAAGCAUUUCCAUCGGGAAGCAGAUAUUCUGCAACAGGUCUCUCAACAUGAGGAACAUCACCGCAGUAGGAUUUGAUAUGGACUACACUCUUGCGCAGUACAAACCUGAGACAUUCGAGGCCCUUGCUUACCAUGGCACCAUUGAGAAGCUCGUGAAGGAUCUCAACUACCCUGAGGAGCUGUUGACAUGGCAAUUUGACUGGAAGUAUAUGGUCAGAGGACUAGUUCUUGAUAAGAAAAGAGGAAAUAUCUUGAAGAUGGACCGGCACAAGUAUGUAAAAGUUGCAUACCAUGGAUUUAGGGAGAUGUCGAAGGAAGAAAAAGUUGCUGCUUAUGGGAGUACAUUGAUAAGGGAUUCCUUCGAUGAACCUGAUUAUGCCCUUAUAGAUACACUUUUCUCACUGGGUGAAGCCUAUCUGUUUGCUCAGCUUGUUGAUUUCAUGGACAGCAAUCCUGCAAAAGUACCUUCAGGCACUGACUAUGCGCAUAUGUAUAGAGAUGUGAGGUCUGCGGUUGAUCUGUGUCAUCGUGAUGGAACUUUAAAACGAAUGGUUGCAAAGGAACCUAGCAGGUAUAUCAAUGAAGACUUGGCAAUUGUACCGAUGCUUCAAAUGCUUAGAAAAUCUGGACGCUCCACAUUCUUGGUGACAAACAGUUUAUGGGACUACACUGAUGUUGUCAUGAACUACCUAUGUGGGCCAUAUAUGUCAGAUGUAAGCUCAAGUCACAACCACAAGUGGCUUGAGUAUUUUGAUGUUGUUAUAACAGGCAGUUCAAAGCCAAGCUUUUUUCAUGAUGAUAACCGAACAGGAUUGUUUGAAGUUGAGCCUGAUUCUGGGAAACUUCUAAAUGCUGAUCUUCAGAUUGGAAGCCCAAGAUCAAGUCAACAUCAGCCAAAACCAAUUCACAAAGUUUACCAGGGAGGCAAUGUUGGUCAUCUUCACAGACUACUUUCUGUUGCUUCUAGUUCGCAGAUCCUCUAUGUUGGUGAUCACAUAUAUGGAGACAUACUCCGCAGCAAGAAAGUUCUAGGUAAAAAUACACAUGCCAAUUUGCGUGCAUGCUUGAUCAAUUCAAGUUGGCGGACUAUGCUGGUAAUACCUGAGCUGGAGCAAGAGGUGAAGCUUCAAUCAGAAUCAAAGUCUACUCGAAAGGAGCUUAGACACCUUAGAAUGGAGCGUGAUUCAGUUGAAGACACGAUCCAUCGCCUUGAAUGGUCUCUUCAAUUUGAAGAUCUUACAGAGAAUGAGAAGGGAAAGUUGUUAUCUGAGCAUGAUAAUCUACUGCAAAAGCUGAAGGGUAUCCGCUGCCUUCUCCGAGAUGCUCAGAUGCAACAUCACCAGAAGUUUCACAAGGUGUGGGGACAGCUUAUGAAGACUGGGUACCAAAACUCUCGGUUUGCUCACCAGGUCGAGAGAUUUGCAUGCCUAUACUGCAGCCAAGUUACAGACUUUGGGUUGUAUUCUCCCAACAAGUAUUACCGUCCAAGCGAAGAUUACAUGCCCCAUGAGUUCGAUGUGCUUGGCCUGUAG
This 1761-nucleotide ribosomal RNA is filed under the name Triticum aestivum (bread wheat). RNAcentral describes it as "partial small subunit ribosomal RNA". Lineage: Eukaryota; Viridiplantae; Streptophyta; Magnoliopsida; Poales; Poaceae. The record is from RNAcentral.